RNAcentral lists this ribosomal RNA (329 nucleotides) under uncultured eukaryote. RNAcentral describes it as "partial 18S ribosomal RNA". It matches the Rfam family "Eukaryotic small subunit ribosomal RNA", at positions 1470 to 1796 of the family's 1831-position model. The record is from RNAcentral.
CCCUUAGAUGUCCUGGGCCGCACGCGCGCUACACUGAGUGUCUGAGAUACGAGUCUGCCUGGUCCGGCAAGGUCUAGGUAAUCGCUAAAAGACACAUCAUGCUUGGGAUAGAUUAUUGCAAAAAUUAAUCUUGAACGAGGAAUUCCUAGUAAGCGCAAGUCAACAGCUUGCGUUGAUUACGUCCCUGCCCUUUGUACACACCGCCCGUCGCUACUACUGAUUGGAUGUUUAAGCGAGGUUCUCGAACUGCUAGCGACUUAGCUUCGGUGAGGUCGCAGUGUGGGAAGUGAACCUAGCUUUGGUGUCUAGAGGAAGUAAAAGUCGUAACA